UUGUCCUGAAAGACCUUAAGAUACUUGGAAAGCAAAAGCACCUGGAUAUUGAACUGCAAAUGAGCACAACCCCCUUUUUAAAGCAGGACAUGCGGCCCACGUUCUGCGCCCCCGGCGAAGGCGCUGCCGGCGGCCCGGGCGGCUCCGGCUCUCGCCGCGCUGCAGACAGACUAACCCGAGAGACCGGGAUAACGAAGAGCAAGCGACUGGGGGAAAUAACUGGGAAUUGCUCGGGAAGGAAAAGUCAGAGCCUGCCUCCAGCUGAACUCUUUGAGAUUGGCCAGAUUCAACGUGUUACAAACAAACAUAUUCCACCUGUUACAACAAUCUGGCAUAUUACUUUCUUGAUACGUGAUGAUACAAUACCUCUCAGGUUUGCUGAGUAGCAAAGAGAAAUUUGUAAACAGCAGCAUCUGGGGAGUGAACGUCCUCUCUCUGCCACAGAGAUGGUGACUUCUUCUGCCUGGAUGGACAACUGGUUAAAUUGCCUCAGUAUAAAUCAUCAGAACAGAUAAAUCAGUGCCCGCACUGUGAUCUCUUUAGUCAUCAGCGAGACUUGUUUGGUUUAUUUAGUAAUUUUCUAAUUUCAGCUUGCUUUGAGAACAUUUGCAUUUUUUCAUUGUGCUUCUUAAACCUUCUUGCAUUGGAAUGGCAGCUUAGACAUGCCCUGAAAGAUUUACCUCAGCAUUUCUUUGUAGCCGUUGAUUAGCCCUGUGAACCAAUGCUCACGUCUGUGUGACUUACCCUGUCCCCUCAGCACCUCUCACCAAUCAGCUCACUCUCUUCACUUCUGAUUCUCAAUGAAAUCUAGCCUGGAUGUUCAGUGCUAGGCAUUUUAAGAGUGGAUUUAGCCUUAGGAAACCAGACAUGUGCUACCCGACCAUCUUUUUAUCUUCCCUCUUCUGCCACAGUCUCCUGUAAACCUUUGGUCAAUGUAAGUGAAUUUUUCAAAGGACUGGAGAUCACAGUAUUCAUGCAGGUUUUGUGAACAUAAACACCUGUGAGAGAAGGAAAAAAUCAAAGUCAGAGCUCCAGCAAGGAAAAGACUAGAGUUGGUAGUUACAUAUUUGCCCAUUCACUAAACAUGCAGCACUGCCUGCCACAACACUGUUGCUGUUUUUCAUAUCAGUAGUAAAAAUAUAUAGGAAGAACCUGGGAGUAAUUUUCAUUAAAUUAUAUCUUUUGUCACUUCUAUCUUAAAUCUGGGUGUAAAAUUGGUCCUAACUCACAGUCUCCCCCAGAACAGAUGGGAGGGGAAGAACCUCAGACUAAAUUCCAGCACACAGACUGAACUGAUACCCAGCGCCUGAGGGACAGGUUCUGGGCUCUGACUUACUUCUCUGUAUUUCCUACUUAAUAGCAACCUUCUCUUUUUUUCACUAACAUAAAUCCAAUUCAGAUUUGUCUGCAGCCGGUCUGCCUGCCAAGUGUGGGCUAAGGGUUUCACUUGGCAGCCCCUUGCCACAUUGGUACUUUGUGAUGCCAUUGUGAGGCUUUAGGUGGUUUUGACAUGAUUGCACUGUAAUCAGUCCAAUAAGGAAGAAACUCUUAUAUUUAAAUUUUCUGUAAAAGUGAAUGUACCUACAGAUUCAAAGUGAUGGUGAAGUAUGUGGAUUUUUAUCAGGUGUAAAUUGGUUUCAUGGUUUAGAUUGUUAUGUUUGCUGAGUAUCCAAAUUCUGCCCCAAUAAUUACUGGGGUUUUUUAAUGAGAUAUGCAUAUAGUGUAUAUAUAUUGCCUAUUUUUAUUAGGUGACAUGCAUGGAGAAAAAGAAGAGGUACCCUAAAUAUUAUACAUAACAUAUAUCUAUCCAGGAACAAUGAAUAAUAAAUUGUCUCUGGAACUUGGCAGAAGUUUAAUUCAAGGGCCAUCAUGGACUUUGCAUAGUUUUGUUUAUUGUGUAAUAAGUAGUCAAAUAACAUUCAGAAAUUGAAAGUGUAUUUUUCUAUAAUACACAUUUUCAAGCAGGUUUCUUGGCAUGCAUUUUGUUUGUACUGUGCUUGAAGUUGUUUAUGGCAUUAGUGGUUAGUGUGUUUGUGCAUGUUUGCAUUCUGUCUGUUUAUGAAGUAUUUCACUGGUACCCUUACACAGCAUGUGGUUGGUCGAAGAUUAUUUUUGAUAGCGUGUGUAGUCACGCAUUUUGGUGAAAGACUUUAAAGUAAGGUGGGUUAAACCCUGGUUAUCUGCAGUUAUGUAAAGACAGACUUACAGGUUGUACAUCACAAAAAAUACCUGCACCAUUUCAAAGAUGAAAGUGUGAGUUGGUGCCAAUUUGUCAAACAAUCAUACCAAGUCGAGUUUCAUAAAGAUAGGCCAAUUCUAUUAAUAACUGGAACAUUAGUAUAUUUUUAUUAUCAUAGACGUCAAAAAUAAUUAACAGAUGACUCAUUAUAUUGUAAUAAUAACAUGUGUGUAACUAAUUUUUGAAAUGAACUACGGAAGCAAAAACAAACCUCUAACAAGGAUAAUUUAAAUCACUUCAGUCUCUAAUUGACAGCUAAGUAUAGGCAGUACUUUCAGGACCCAGACACAGGGCUGUGAAAUUCAUCUGUGAAUUACACUGGGCUUAGAGUGUUAGUUGAUACUUUUCAUGGUGUUUUGAAAGUAUGGGUUGUUCAACAUGUAUCUAAUGACAUUACAGGAAUAGUACUUGCAGAAAAUGUAGAGCUGAGCAGCUCUAGACACAGACAUCAGUUCAGUAAGGAUUUUUUGAAUGUUACAGAAUAAAAUAUUGUUGCUUUAUUUAGAUGCCUAACUGUGAUUUUAAGAGCAUAAUUCUUUCCAUGAAUCUUGUCCUGCAGUUCAAGAAACCAUUCUCCUUCAGAAAUUAUUAAGAAUGUGCAUGAAACUUAAAGGAAACAGAGCUGACCAAUAAUUAAUUCAUAUGAAAAUUCCACUUGUACUAUGAUUUGAGUGCAUUAAAAUGAGAUGUCCAAGUCCUCUACAGAUUCUGGAGUUACUGCAAUUUUGGCUGUUUUGCAUUUCGGAAGACAUUAUCAUGGAGAUUUGUGAGCAUGGGACUGAAGAGGACAUGAACUACACCUGUGGUAGAACUAUAACUUUGUAGAUGGGGGUAUUUUACAUCAGUUCCCAGUCUUCUUACCAAAUUUGACCCUUUUGAGUAAGAAAAAAUAAUAAUCACAGACUGUUUCAGAAUAAAGUUAGGAGAACUAUAGAUUCCUAGAAGAGAUGUAGGUUAGUUUUUGCUUUCUUCCUACCUACCAGUCCGUCCACUUUCUGAGGAAGCUCCCAAAGAAUCAGGCAACUGCCAUUUUAAUAAUCCAGAAGAGCUGAGGUUACAAGAUUGUGCAAACCACCAGAAUGAUAAACAGCGUAUACCAUUAAAUUGAGACACAGGUCAUAAAAAUUUACCUAGAUCAAUACCCAAUUCUUAACGAGCGUCGAAGAUAUUAACAGGCUCCCCAGGGAAGUGAUCACAGCACCAGCCUGACAGAGUUCAAGAAGCAUUUGCACAAU
Molecule: long non-coding RNA, 3474 nt
Organism: Corvus hawaiiensis (hawaiian crow)
Lineage: Eukaryota; Metazoa; Chordata; Aves; Passeriformes; Corvidae
Exons: 5
Source: RefSeq, a predicted model, not a curated record